UUGCAUGUCCUUUAUACGUGUGGAGACGCACGCACAAAGUGCGAGAUCAAUUCGUACCGCUCGUGCACGCGGCUGUGGAAAGUGCCACGCCAGAUUCUCAUACAUUUCCAACUUGAUUGGCGUCUCUUUUUGCGACUGUUGAUAGAUUCUGAUAGGUACAUUGCUGUACAUAUGUGGAAACUAUUAUAUCUCAUCCUAUUUGUCCAUACGAUUUCCUAUCACAGACCGGUGGUGAAGGGAAAGGCAGCAAGUUAAAGCACCCAAUCCAUUUUGCUUUGCCUACAACUGCAGCCUAUCUUUGUUGGUGGGUCUCUCCUGUGGUGAUGAGCAAGCAGAGGUGGACUGUGGAAGUCGAAAUCCUCUUUGGAGGCUCCAAAACCAGCACGGAAAGGUGGACGUCGCUCAUGGUUUCUGCAACUUGGCCAAAACCAGAUUCAGCUUUCGAGCUGGACAAGCAAAUCCAAAGCACAAGUUGGUACCCUCCCCGUAAUAUUUCGUUUGGCAAAGCUUACCAAGUUGAGCUCGCCAAGGAGCAUGGAAGAUCCACAGUGAGCUAAUUGAUUCCCCCAAACCGCAGCACGCCAAUCACAUCCCCUCUUCGUGGCC
RNAcentral lists this long non-coding RNA (606 nucleotides) under Musa acuminata (dwarf banana). RNAcentral describes it as "long non-coding RNA (MACU_LNC000354)". Lineage: Eukaryota; Viridiplantae; Streptophyta; Magnoliopsida; Zingiberales; Musaceae. The record is from RNAcentral.